RNAcentral lists this long non-coding RNA (4324 nucleotides) under Chlamydomonas reinhardtii. Its description in RNAcentral is "long non-coding RNA (CREI_LNC000906)". The record is from RNAcentral. Lineage: Eukaryota; Viridiplantae; Chlorophyta; Chlorophyceae; Chlamydomonadales; Chlamydomonadaceae.
UCUCGUACGUUUUUGGGGCCCUGGCUUGUCCACGGCUGUCGUCCCACAUGUAACCUCUAUCAGCAAUCUUCGGCCAGCCGGUGGCGGCAACCUGCCCGGCCCUCGUGCGCCUCCUGGGUGCCCUCAGCUACCUGCCUCCGGUCACAAUCCUACGCCCGGCUGUGCUGUUGCCAGGGCCCUGGUGCUUUGCACUUCCGCUCUGGGGCAAUCCAGUCUUGCCGUGUGCGGCGGGGCUUCAGGCGGGUGGCUUGGAACGUGACUUCCCAGCUCUCAUGGCGCUGCCGGGUCUGCUCACGCUCGGCACGGCAGUGCGGUGCUGGGAGGCGCUGGCCGCGGUGCGCCAGCUGGUGGCUUCCAAACCGGCUGGUGCGCUCGGGCCGCGCCUCGCACGUCGCUGCACUAUACAGUACAAGCGGUCCGUCCUGCGCCCCAUCCUGCGCAUUACGGAUAUGGCGCGCGUGCCGCCGGAGCUGCAGUCCGGCCCGGAUGCUGCUGCCCAAUUCUCCGCGCUGCUGGCCCGUGUACCGGCGGCGUGGAGGGUGGCGGCGUCGGCCACACUGCAUGCGCCUGGCGGCGCGGCCUCCGCGCCUCCUGCCCCCCAGGUAUGGCUGCUGCUUGCGCAGAGCCUGGGGUGGCGGCAUGGCGCGGCUGACGUGCCCUUGCUGACCCUUACGGUGAAGCAGGCAACCCAGCUUCAACUUGCGCCUGCGUACGACGCGCUCCGCGUGCGUCACUUGGCCUUCAUCCAAGAGGCCUACAGCGGUGCCGCGCCGCCAGCGGAAGCGAUUCAUGCGCUGCGGGCGGCCCUGGCGCGGCUGUGGGCUUUGGUGUGGGAGCCGCGACACAAGGAACCGCUCUGGCGUCUGGCAGUCAAUGGGUUCACGGGCUUUGGGAUGCUUGCGGCGUGGGCCGCAGAUGGACGCGUGGAGAAAUGCCCGUGUGGGACUCAGAUGACUGCUGGGGCUAGGGUUCAUCACUUCUGGGACUGUGUGGUGGCGGAGGCUCUGCGUGAUGUGAUGCGGGAGCAUGCGAAUGUGGACAUCACACGGAACCAGUUGUGGUUAGUACAGGCGCCACCAGGGCUAUCGCAGGCGGUGUGGGACAUCGUGUGCUUGGCUGCUGUGGCGGCCCUGGAAUACGGCCGACAGCGCCUUUACGCUUGCCGUGAUGCUGCAGACCGGACUGCGGAGGUUGCUGUUGUGCGAAGGAUAGGUGUGGAGGUGAUUGCGGACUUCUGGUCACGGCUAGCUGCGUUUGUGAGUCUGCGUCGGCCUCCGCGCCGCUGGGACCUUGUCCCGAACCAGCACCCAUUCCUAGCGUCAGAUGAUGUUGGAGGGGUUAUCUUGGUAGGGCCAACAGCGGACUCGCCACCGGCCUCACCCUAGCUUGUCAGCUUAGGGACUCGCAAGAGGUAGUCUUAUGACGCCGACCCACGGCUUAGGUGAGCAGCGCUAGCGUUUGCGGUGAGCCGGGCCUGGGGUUCCUCCCCUCUCCGGAGGCGAGGAGCAUGGGGGUCAUUCGGGGAUCUCUCCUCGGGUGAGCGUGCGUGUCUCGUACGUUUUUGGGGCCCUGGCUUAGUCCACGGCUGUCGUCCCACAUGUAACCUCUAUCAGCUAAACGCCCGCCCGUGGGCUUUGUACGCGGGUGGUCUUGCGCCACGAUGCCGGAGUUGGGUGCCGCCACGAUGCCGGAGUUGGGUGCCGGAGUCACAUCAAGGUCGCAAGAUCGAAACCCGUCAGGAACAGUUCGGCUCCGUUACCUGUGUAGGCACUGAACAUACUUGUGCCGAACUUCCCCGAACGAGCGCCAUCUCGGCCUUCCUAGGUCGCUGCUCUACGGGUGAGGACGCUGGUGCGGCGGGUUCUGAAAAUCAGAUUCAUCCAACCAUUGGUUGGUCCUGCCAUUCGGGCUCACCAACGCUCCUGCUACGUUUCAAGCCACUAUGAACCGCAUCUUUGCGCCGUUCCUGAACCGGUUUGUGACUGUGUAUUUGGAUGACAUCCUCAUUUUCAGUCGCACCGCUGAAGAACAUGAACAACACCUCCGCCAAGUGUUGGCCUGCCUCCGUAAAUGGAAACUACACGCCAAACUUAGCAAGUGCGAGUUCUGGCGCAGUGAGGUGAAAUACUUGGGGCAUAUUGUCAGUUCGGAUGGAAUCCGCAUGGAUCCAAAGAAAGUUGAGCAAAUCCGUCAGUGGCCGCGUGACCUGUCUGAAUUGCGGUCAUUUGUUGGUUUAGCCAACUAUUUCCGCCGGUUUAUUGCUGGUUUUGCAUCCCUGGCCGCACCGUUCACCAACAUGUUCUCACCAGAGGUCGGCAAACGCAUUUUUUCUGCUGCGGGUCCCAGACCGAUUUCGGUAAAUCCCCACCGGGGGGUGUGGGGGGUGUCCCCCCAGCCGGGGGUCCGGGGGCGGGAGCCCCCGGAGAAAAUUUUCGCAUAUCGGGCCUCAAAUAUGUGCUUUUUACAAGGGUUUCCGCGUGUGCAAGGCUUGCAUUCGUCUUACAUGUUCAACAGCACAUGUCUGGACAGCUGCUCUGUGGCAGGCAGCCACAAAUCCUCGCAAUCCCCCUCUGUUCCGCGCAAGCCAGCCCCAGGGCAGCAGCCCCAAAGAAAUUUUUUUGGAUUGCGCUUCAAAUUGCGACAUUUUCAAGAUGUUUGGGGGGCAUUUUGGCUAAACCAAGAGCAAGUCAAUCAUGUUUUGGGUCGGUUUUGGGGGGCAGUUUUGCUUUCUGGAGCGAUUUCGGUAGUGUAAGUACCCGCAGCGGUUGACUAUUUUCGAUUUCGGUUGCGGGUACUUCGGGGGGCCCCGAAGGACCCGAGGCUUAUGCCGACCUCUGGUUCUCACUCACGCGCCUACCGGACACUUGGCCUCCGCAGGCCCUGCACGCGUUUGAACAAAUCAAAGAACGCCUGUCAACCGAUGUGCUUUUGCGUUAUCCUGAUUUCUCGAAGCCCUUUGUCGUCAUGUCCGACGCUUCGCUGAACGGAACGGGUGCUGUCUUGUUGCAAGAGGACCGACCGGUCGCUUUUACCAGCAAGAAGUUCUCCCCUGCUGAACGCAACUACAGCACUGGUGAACAAGAACUGUUGGGUGUGGUAAACGCCCUGCGUGAAUGGCGUUGUUACCUGCAGAGCGCGCUACCUUUUACUUUGUACACGGACCAUCAUCCGUUGAUCUACCUCAAGACCCAAGCACACCUUUCAAGACGUCAAGCCCGCUGGGUGGAGCUCCUGUCUGAGUUCCAUUUCGACUGGGUCUACCGCCCAGGCAAGCUCAACGUAGUUGCUGAUGCCCUGUCUCGACACCCGUCGCUGUCCUUCCUGCAUGCUAUGCAAACCCGCCGUCAAGCUGCCGCCGCGGCUUCCUCGCCGCCUGCUCCCUCUGCGACGCCCUCUGCGCCUCGUGCCCGUGCUGCGCACGCACCUGCGCCUGUUUCCUCUGGGCCUGUCGCUACCUUCACAGCACGUAUUGCUGCGGCUGUGCGAGCUGAUACCUGGUUUCAGGAUGCGGCUAACGUGCGUGGUCUGGCUACGAGCCCUGAUGGUCUCUUUUUGCGGGAGGAGGAGGGGAGUUGGCGCAUCCUUGUGCCUAAUGACCCUGAUCUGAAACGCGAUAUCAUUGCGAGUUGCCAUUCUGAACGCCUCGCCGGACACCAGGGUCGUGAUCGCACUACUGAGCUGGUUCGCCGUACGUUUACGUGGCCUACCCUGACCCGCGAUGUGGCUGACUUCGUAGCGUCCUGUGACGCCUGCCAACGUUCCAAGCCUGCUUCUGGCAAGCCUGCUGGCAAGCUUCAACCGCUGCCUAUCCCGGAACUACCUUGGGAGAGUGUGUCUAUGGACUUCAUUACGGGUUUACCUCGUACGCAGCGUCACAAUACCGCUAUCUGCGUGUUUGUGGACCGCCUGACUAAGAUGGUGCACAUCGCGCCCUGUUCCCACGAAAUCAAUGGACAGCAGACUGCUGACCUAUUCUUUGACUCUGUGGUUCGCCUGCAUGGCCUGCCUCGUGAGAUUGUGUCUGACCGCGGCACAGUAUUCACCGGAGCUUUCACUACCGCGCUGACUAAGCGCCUGGGAAUUAAGCAGUCUUUGUCUACCGCUUUCCACCCCCAGACUGAUGGGCAGACUGAACGGAUUAAUCGUAUCUUGAAUGAUAUGAUGCGGAACUUUUGUGAUGGAAAUCACGCGAAUUGGGACCGGUACUUGUCGGCCGCUGAGUUUGCGAUUAACAAUGCGCAGAACCGUUCCACCGGCAAGUCCCCUUUCUUCCUGACUUACGGCGUCCACCCUAAGACACCGCUGACACUGGACGUUGGAAAUU